UUUAAGUUGAACAAUCGAAUUUAAAAGAAGAAAUAACAGAAUUAAGUUGAGUAAUUGAAUAUUUGAAUUUAAAGGAAAGAAAGAACUUACAGAACAGUAUUAAAUCGGAUUGAAUUGAAUUUGAACAAUGGAAUAAAACGAAAGAAAGAACUGAACUAAAUUAAAAUUGAACAAUCGAAUUUAAAAGAAUGAAAAGAUUGAAUAGCUAACAGUUAACACAAGAUUGAAUCAAUUCAGAAUUGAGAAGAAUUUAUUAACAUUCGGAAUUGAGUUGACAGUUGAAGUAAUACUCAAGAAAUUGAUUUAGAACAUUAAAACUAAUUAUUUUAACAGAGUAAAAAAUUGAAAAACAGAAUUGAAUUUUCAACUCUACGAGUGUAUGUAGACAAGAAUUCAGAAAAGAAUUUAGGCACAAAACAGUUGACGAAAUCAAGAACUGAAAUUUGACUAUUGGAAUAGAACUUCAAACAGCAAAACUAUGGAUUUAAACUGGAACAAUAUACCUGAAAAAAAGAAACGAAAAUGCAAUGUUUUACCAAAAUGACAACGAGUACACUGAGAUCAACUUCGGAAGAUCAGAGAGAAGAAAACUCACCAAUGGAAAAUGAUUUCCAGUUCCUUCUCCAACUCUUCUCCCUGGUUUUAUAACUUCCUGCCCUCUUUCAUUUUUUCAAUUUAUUCG
RNAcentral lists this long non-coding RNA (682 nucleotides) under Zostera marina. Its description in RNAcentral is "long non-coding RNA (ZMAR_LNC002987)". The record is from RNAcentral. Lineage: Eukaryota; Viridiplantae; Streptophyta; Magnoliopsida; Alismatales; Zosteraceae.